This is a long non-coding RNA of Marmota monax (woodchuck), 1869 nucleotides long. RefSeq lists it as uncharacterized. The record is from RefSeq and is a predicted model, not a curated record. NCBI's taxonomy places the organism in Eukaryota, Metazoa, Chordata, Mammalia, Rodentia, Sciuridae. The transcript is spliced from 2 exons.
GUACAAAGUUGCCCAAUUUUAUUUGAAACCACACUGUAUGUUAAAGUCAAAAUGUAGACCUCCAAGUCACAUGUGGCAGCACAUGCCUGUAAUCCAGUGACCCGGGAGGCUGAGAUGAGGAUCACAAGAUCAGCCUAUGCAACUUAGUGAGACCCUUGUCUCAAAAUUUAAAAAUGACAAGGGCUGGGAAUUUAGCUCAGUGGUAUAGUAUUCCUGGGUUUGAUCCCCAGUAUAUCUCCCCCCAAUACACACACAAAGAUAAAGCUCCAGCAAUUUCCAGGUUUCACGGGUGUUUCAGUUGACUCUGGGUUAAAAAUCUAGGUUACUCAAGUCUCAUAUUAUUGGUCCUUAGUAGAAGGGAUCUGGAUUUAGUAUCAGUUUCAAUUAUAAAUGACUAAUACCUUGGACAAGUUACCUGACUUACCUGAGUCUUAGUUUCUUCAUCUGGAAACCACUUCCUGGUAUGUGGGUGACACACAAUAAACGUUUGGGUCCUUUCUCAUGAUGCUCUCCUGUCAGCAAUCCAAUCAGCUGGACUUUGGUUCCUCUUGAUUAGAACAGUGACUUUCCAAUGUGGAGGACUAUUCUGGAUAAAAGUCUGUUGUCUUUCUCUCCCUUUUAUAGGUCCCUUACCUGUCUUUUGGACAUAGACCCUAUCAUAUCCAACAUUUCUGUUAUUUACUCCAAAGGGUUAUCAAGAAUGAGUUCAAACCUGCGAUCCUCCUGCCUGAGCCUCCUGAGUGGCUAGAAUUACAGACAUGCAACAAAAUCCAUAUUUUAACAAGAUUUCCAGGUGAUUCAUCUGUAAGAUAAAAUUUGUGAAGUGCUGGUCUAAAUGGUAUUUCUGGAUCAAAAAACAUUUACAUUUAAAAUACACUCAAAAAUCUCUCUGUAGAUAAGUGGCACCAAUUCAUAUCCCCAACACAGAUGCUUGAUUCCCCCCUCUCCCACCAAACUUAGAUCUUACCGAUAUUUUUCCUCUUUAGUUAUCUUAUUUUAAUUUACAUUUUUGAUUAUCAGUGAAACUAGACAUCUUUUAACAUGCUAACUGGUUACUUGUUAUGCUUCUUUUUAAAAAAAUAUUUUUAUUAGUUGUUGAUGGCCACCAUUUUACUUGUUUAUUUAUAAUGCAGUGCUGAGAUUCUAACCCAGUGCCUCACACAUGCUAGGAAAGUGCUCUACCACUGAGCCACAACCCCAUGCCCUUUGUUAUGCUUCUUUUCUGAAUUGCUCUUUGCAUGUUUUUCCAUUAAGGUGUUUGUCUUUUUCUUAGAAGUUAUUAGAUCUCUUUGGAUAUUAGGAAUAUAAACCUUUUAGUCAUACAAUAUAUUGCAACUCUAUCAUUUGUUGACUUUAUCCUCAUUCAGCCAUUAUUUUAUAUUUUUAAUUAAUUAAUUAAUUUUGUAGUUGUAGAUGGACAGAAUGCCUUAUUUUGUUAUUUUUAUGUGGUGCUGAGGAUCGAACCCAGUGCCUCACACAUGCUAGGCAAGUUCUCUGCCACUGAGCUACAGCCCCAGCCCUUACAUUUUUAAAAAAUCUAUUUUUUAGUUGUAGGUGGACAUAAAACCUUUAGUUUUUUUUAGUUGUCAAUGGACUUUAUUUAUUUAUAUGUGGUGCUGAGACUUGAACCCAGUGCCUCACACAUACUAGGCAAGUGCUCCACCACUGAGCCACAACCCCAGCCCCCAAUACCUUUAUUUUUAUGUGGUGCUGAGGAUUGAACCCAGUGCCUCGCGCUCACUAGGUGAGCACUCUACCACUAAGCCCACCACCCCAGCCCAAAAUUUUACAUUUUUAUAUAGUAAAAUUUAAAAAUCUCUUCACUUUGAACCCACUCUAAGAUUAAUAAAAUUGUCACAUAUUUCUUAA